CCAAAGUAAGAACAAAGGAAGAAAAGAAAGAACAAAAACCCUAGACUGAAAAUUCAAGAGAAAAUUGGUGGAUUUCAAGUAAUCAAGCAAUCAAAGGUAAAAUUUCUUGAUUUUGACUUAUGAUCUACCUUUCCCAUACAUUCUUUUGCAUUUUUCAUGGUUUAAUCAUAUGAUUUCAUGAUGGGUAUCUUGCUGGCCGAACACUUAGAGAGAGAUUUUGAUGGUUGUUUUGGUUAGAUUUUAACAUAUUCUAGUGGUUUUAGUUGAUUGGUGAUGUGUAGCAUGAAAAUCAAGCAAGAAAAAAUCAUGUUCUUCCAUAACCCUCAUUGGCCGAAUUCUCCAUGUGGAAUAUUGAUGAUGAUUUUGAUUUUAUUUCAAGUGAAUUGGUUAGGAAACGAUGAAUUACGAUAAGAAAAUCAAGUAGGAAAAAUCAUUGUAUUGAUACACCCACCAUGGCCGAAAUUCCCAAGAGAAAAUGUGAAGAUGAUUUUUGCUAAAUUUUAUGCUAUUUGACUUAUGUUUGAUGAUUUGGAGUAUUGGGAGAAAAAUGGAAUUAUUUGGAGUUGAAUUGGACGUAUUGGCCAAUUAAUCGGGUGAUAGAUCGAAUUAGGCCAAUACCAUUUUAUUUAGGUACACAAUUGAAUUUGGGUAGAACACCGUGUUUAAACGAUAAUCCGAAUAAUUUGCAUUCCAUAUCAUGCAUUAGUAAAGAGCCUAAAAUAGAUUUAUAAUGGUAUGACACAGUAUAUUGAAUUAUGUGUCGUGUAUUGUAUAUAGGUGGUGAGCCCUCUAACAAGGGUAAAGACGUUGUGUCAGAGGACUGAGAAUAGGAGUAUUUCAAACUCCUGAUACAGUGAGUAACCUUAUCAUCAUCUUGAUUAUCUGAAGUGAAUUUUAAUUCAUUUUUGUGAUUUUAUGGAAAAUGAGUUUAAAUGGUAAAUCUUUAUGUUUUUUAAGCAAAAAUGUGAUUAAACGAAAUGAUUUUAUAAAAUUGUCUUGAAAUUGAAAGAUGAUUUUGAAAAUGGAGUAAUUGGAGACUAAUUGUUGUGUUAUAAAUCAUGGUUUGAAUUGAAUGGCUUAUGAUAAUAUUGGCAUGAAUGGUUGAAUUGGUAAAUGUGCUGAAAAUAUAUGACUGUUGAUUUGCCUUGAGAGGUUGUAAAAUAAAAUAAUUGUCAUGUCAUGCUAUUGCAAAUUUUAUUGUAUGGUGGGUUUAGCUUGCUGCAGUGGGCAAGUUCUGUGGACUAGCCUUUUUGAGGGGCACGAAAUCCUGUUAUAUUCUUACCUCGAUUGGAGAGGUGCGUAGGGUAACUCUCGAGGUACAACUUUAGAGUUCAUUUCGCGCCAAACCAUCACAUGAGUGUGAACUCAGCCAACGCUAAGGAACGACUAUGUUUUCAAAAUAUAAACAUGAUUUAUGCGUACAUGACUUUUUAAUAACCUUGGCAGACUCGGUUGAGAUAACCCUCGGCCAAGGUAUCCCUAAUAAUUGAGUAUGAGAAUAAUUUUUGGCAUGAGCCAAGUUUUAAGAAAUUCAUAAGCCAUGUUGAUUACUCGAUUUAAAUGAAUUGAUUUUAUUUGGUUGAAAGGUGAUAAAUUACAGUAUGAUGAUUUAUUUCAAUCGUCUCCAUUUACUCGGCUUUAGAUAUUUUAGAUGAUAUUUGUUUACUCAUUGGGAUUAUAUAAUCUCACCACCCUCCUUUCCACCCCUUUUAGGCUCAGGAUAGUCGGUAGAUAGCUCAUUUCUUUGAGGGCUACAGUUGGACUUGCAUCCUUAAAAACUGUAGGUUUACCGCUUUUGAUACUUUUGGUCGUUCGUGGGCUCAUGUGUCACUGUAAAUUAAAUCUUAUGCUUUGGUUAUCUGUAUUAUAGUAUGUAUGAAUUUAUUUAGCUUUUACGCUACAAAAUUAUUUAC
RNAcentral lists this long non-coding RNA (1913 nucleotides) under Theobroma cacao (cacao). RNAcentral's name for it is "long non-coding RNA (TCAC_LNC004524)". The record is from RNAcentral. Lineage: Eukaryota; Viridiplantae; Streptophyta; Magnoliopsida; Malvales; Malvaceae.